RNAcentral lists this ribosomal RNA (420 nucleotides) under bacterium. RNAcentral's name for it is "partial 16S ribosomal RNA". It matches the Rfam family "Bacterial small subunit ribosomal RNA", at positions 355 to 776 of the family's 1533-position model. The record is from RNAcentral.
UGGGGGAUAUUGCACAAUGGGCGAAAGCCUGAUGCAGCGACGCCGCGUGGGGGAUGAAGGCUUUCGGGUUGUAAACCUCUUUCGCUAUCGAACAAGGCCCGCUUAGGGUGGGUUGAGGGUAGGUGGAGAAGAAGCGCCGGCUAACUACGUGCCAGCAGCCGCGGUAAUACGUAGGGCGCGAGCGUUGUCCGGAAUUAUUGGGCGUAAAGGGCUUGUAGGCGGCUUGUUGCGCCUGCUGUGAAAACGCGGGGCUUAACUUCGCGCGUGCAGUGGGUACGGGCAGGCUUGAGUGUGGUAGGGGUGACUGGAAUUCCAGGUGUAGCGGUGGAAUGCGCAGAUAUCUGGAGGAACACCGAUGGCGAAGGCAGGUCACUGGGCCAUUACUGACGUUGAGGAGCGAAAGCAUGGGUAGCGAACAGG